UUGUAUAUAAUCUUGUAUACAUGUAUAUCUAUGUAUGCAAAUAAAUAUAUUUUUUAGAAUCUACAUCUAAGCCUUUGUGAAAGUACAAAUUGUUUGACUGGACAAGUGUCAUCCUCCUGCAGGUCUUCAUUCAGCCUGUGUGACAGCAUGAGAUCGUAUUUCUGAUUGAUACCCACUGUACCCAAGCAGGCAUCCCUGCACGUGUGGCAGUCAGGUUGGCAGGACACAAUCGUUCCAGUACUGGGAAGACUGCUGGAAAGAUUAGUGGCAUCACGCUGGCACGGCAAUAAGGGGAGAGGGGGCAGGAAAGAGCCUUCUCCAGGCUGCUGACCAGACCUUAUCCGCUGACGGCAGAUGCUUGGUGGGGACGGCAUGGCCCUUCCUUCCCCCCUCUGAUGGGAAACACAGAGCACGUACGGGAAACACCCAUGGGGGUAACAGAAUGCAGAAGUGCAUCACAUGACCAUUGUAAGAUUUUCCCAUCCUGCCCAAGUUGUGACAGAGGACAUGAAAUCCUUGAGGACAAUGGAAAAGUCUGUGAAAAAAGGUUACCCCUCAGGAUUUUAUGGAUGAUUCAGUUUUCGCUUUUACUGUGGAGCUACGAGAAACAAAAACUAUAAAAAAGUGUUUUCCACAAUGUCAUGGGUUGGUAUGUUAGGUAGCCCUUAAUGUGUUCUGAUAAAUACACCACAAGUAAUUCUUGGGUGUGACACUUUUCUCUGCAAAACCACCAACAGCAUAUCCUUGUUUGUGAGUUCAGAGAUCUUAACAUAUCUAAAUGCAUCUCUAAAGAGUGCAGAUCAGUUAUUUUCUUCAUAUUUAACAAUAUGUAAUAUGUCUCACUGAUGAAAAUGGCUUGAGCCAUUGUAAUUCUGUGUUUAGUUUUGUGUUCAUGGCUUUUGUGUGUAUUUAAAAGAAAAAGCCACAAAAUUUAUUUUGAAAGAUGUGAAAACCCUUUGGUGAAUGUCAAGUAUCAGAGUAAAUAAUACUAUUAACUCCUUUCAAUUCUUAAGAGACUUUUUUGCUUUAAGUGCUUGAGUAAUGGGUUGUAUACUAUGCCAGAGGGUGCUGUUUAUGACAGUUUUAUUCUGCCCCCACUUAACGUUCUUUUUUCCUAUAAAGUGGCAAUGAAGUGUGGGAGAGUUCCACGGAGAUCCUUUAGUUGAGAGUUUCAGGACGAUAGUCCAUACAGUGGGGCAAAAUUUACACUUGGUGCCCCCUAGGACUAAUUUGCUGUCCUGCAGUGCCAGUUCUAAAGCCUUACUUGACCCUGCUAUUUUUAAGUUUGUCGGUUUUGAAAGAACUGAUUCACAUCAUUCAAACAGAUGUAUUCACAGGACUUCCUUUAAUAUCAAUGUUUUCCUCUCUUAAUACUGGAAAGUUGGACCAUGACCUUUUAAAAAAAAUUUCCUGUGGGCUUCAAUGAGUCCAGUUUCUAGUAAACAAAAGAUUAGCAUGCUUUUACAGCUCUUAGAAUAUUUAGCACUUAACCUUUACACCAGCAAAAUUAAAGUAAUUGCCUUUUAAACCACAAAUGCCAGUAAUAAAAGAGAUCUCCUUUGUUUGGGGUUGAAGUGUUCUUGUUUAUGAUUUCAAGGAAACAGGUUCAACUUAGUCUAACACUUCACAAAACCAAACACAGAUUCUUACUAGGCCACACACACACACACAGACACACACACACACAGACACACACACACACACAGCACACACACACACACACACACACACACACACACACAUUCAUUCCUUACUCUAACAAUGGUGUGAAACACAAUACAUGCCACUAUAAUGUUCCAUGCAUUUUCCACAAUGCAUCUUUAUCCACUGACAGCUAUUCAAAAGUAUCAAUUCUUUUUUUUUUUUUCUGGCUCUGUUGAUUGGCCCACAAACUUCCGUGCCCAGAUCUAAAUGUCUCUGAGUAAAGAUAGCAGAUUUCAAAUUGUGUACUCCCAUUGAGAUGAAUGGAAAUGCUAACAAAUUGCGAUGUCUAGGUUUUAAAGAUCUCUUUGCUAUAAACACAUUAACAUUCAUAGACUGAAGGAACAAUUAUAUGA
Long non-coding RNA from Myxocyprinus asiaticus (Chinese sucker), 2057 nucleotides. RefSeq lists it as uncharacterized. The transcript has 3 exons. The record is from RefSeq and is a predicted model, not a curated record. Lineage: Eukaryota; Metazoa; Chordata; Actinopteri; Cypriniformes; Catostomidae.